GGGAGCAUAGCUCAGCUGGGAGAGCAUCUGCCUUACAAGCAGAGGGUCAUAGGUUCGAGCCCUAUUGCUCCCACCA
This 76-nucleotide transfer RNA is filed under the name Firmicutes bacterium ADurb.Bin099. RNAcentral's name for it is "tRNA-Val". It matches the Rfam family "tRNA". From Rfam's summary of the family: Transfer RNA (tRNA) molecules are approximately 80 nucleotides in length. The record is from RNAcentral. Lineage: Bacteria; Bacillati; Bacillota. RNAcentral also lists the same sequence under 5 other names.